This is a long non-coding RNA of Danio aesculapii, 261 nucleotides long. RefSeq lists it as uncharacterized. Lineage: Eukaryota; Metazoa; Chordata; Actinopteri; Cypriniformes; Danionidae. The record is from RefSeq and is a predicted model, not a curated record. The transcript has 5 exons.
AAGAAAACCUUCUGGAAAUAAGCAGAUAUCAGAGAAAGUUCAAGACAGAAAGAGACUAAGAGAGUAUCACCACCCUGGCCAGGCUGAGAGAGAUGAUCAUGAUGAGCAGAGUUAUCUAGAAGGCAGAAAUGUAGACGUGAGCAUGACGAGGCAUAUUAUUCCAACUUGGAUGAAAGCCCUGACUCCCACACAGACCAAAGAAAACAGAACGUCUAAGACUGGUAAUGGAAAUGGUUCUUCCAGGCAGAACGAACAUUCCCU